Molecule: ribosomal RNA, 428 nt
Filed under: uncultured bacterium
Lineage: Bacteria
Description: bacterial SSU rRNA
Rfam family: Bacterial small subunit ribosomal RNA
Source: RNAcentral
GAUGAACGCUGGCGGCGUGCUUAACACAUGCAAGUCGAACGAUUAAACUGGCUUCGGCCAGAUAUAGAGUGGCGAACGGGUGAGUAACACGUGACCAACCUGCCCCGCGCUCCGGGACAACCGCUGGAAACGGCGGCUAAUACCGGAUGCUCCGGGGAGGCCCCAUGGCCUCCCCGGGAAAGCCUUAACGGCGCGGGAUGGGGUCGCGGCCCAUUAGGUAGACGGCGGGGUAACGGCCCACCGUGCCCGCGAUGGGUAGCCGGACUGAGAGGUCGACCGGCCACAUUGGGACUGAGAUACGGCCCAGACUCCUACGGGAGGCAGCAGUGGGGAAUUUUGCGCAAUGGGGGAAACCCUGACGCAGCAACGCCGCGUGCGGGACGAAGGCCUUCGGGUUGUAAACCGCUUUCAGCAGGGAAGACAUAGAC